RNAcentral lists this ribosomal RNA (253 nucleotides) under uncultured bacterium. RNAcentral's name for it is "partial 16S ribosomal RNA". It matches the Rfam family "Bacterial small subunit ribosomal RNA", at positions 524 to 776 of the family's 1533-position model. The record is from RNAcentral.
UACGGAGGGUGCAAGCGUUAUCCGGAUUUAUUGGGUUUAAAGGGUCCGUAGGCGGCCGAAUAAGUCAGUGGUGAAAGCCUAUCGCUUAACGAUAGAACUGCCAUUGAUACUGUUUGGCUUGAGUGUGGUUGAAGUAGCUGGAAUGUGUAGUGUAGCGGUGAAAUGCUUAGAUAUUACACAGAACACCAAUUGCGAAGGCAGGUUACUAAGCCACAACUGACGCUGAGGGACGAAAGCGUGGGGAGCGAACAGG